ACGAAUCAAAACUGCCGAAGACAGUAGGUGCCGCAAGGCAUAAGGAGAAAACGCCUACCGAGGAAUAUAAGAUAAUCAUACGAUGACUUAUAAUAGCCUCUCUGUCUUUGAUAGAGAGGCUUUCUUGAUG
Molecule: small RNA, 130 nt
Filed under: Anaerosporobacter mobilis
Lineage: Bacteria; Bacillati; Bacillota; Clostridia; Lachnospirales; Lachnospiraceae
Description: Ribosomal protein L10 leader
Rfam family: Ribosomal protein L10 leader
About the family: This family is a putative r-protein leader autoregulatory structure found in B. subtilis and other low-GC Gram-positive bacteria. It is located in the 5' untranslated regions of mRNAs encoding ribosomal proteins L10 and L12 (rplJ-rplL).
Source: RNAcentral